GUCGUGAAAAUCGUACUUUGUCAUAAAGUGAUCAUUCGCAGCUUUUCUCAGUGAAAUUCGAAUUUGAUUUCAUUACACGUGUUUAAGAUGGCAGUGAACGUUAUCGGUGUAUGUUUGACGUUAUCGUGCAUUUUUCAAUGCGCAUUGGGUGACUUGCAAAUAACUGCAGAGCAAUUCGCUCAAUUUCAAGGGACGGAUCCCACAAAAUUUUGCGGAUGCAAACAAAGUAUGGAAAAGUUUUGUAAUACAAUAGCCAAGAAAGAUAUCUCGAACUAUAACGAUGCAACAGGGCCCUUCAGGAAGGGUUAUCCAGUAUGCCUGCCGCACGCAAAGGUUCAAGUGGUAACAAAAUGCGGUAAAGGUACAGAUUUGAUUCAAAUCCAAGUACUCGUUUGUUCAUGGGCAAAAAAAGAGUUUUAUCUCACUUAUGGUAAAGGGCAGACGCCAAAUAACGUGAUGGUUUACGCUGUUGCCAAAGCUGGUGGUUCUUGUACUUUUUUGUACGAGUUACCUUACAACAGCAAUUGACAAAGAAGAGGAAAGUGAAAACUCCGAAGAGAAAAUCACUCGAAAAUUUUUUGAUUGUGAAUGUUUCUUCUUGUAUUUUGUUAUGUACCUAAAUUGAUAUUAAAGCUGCAUAAUUAUUGA
This is a long non-coding RNA of Planococcus citri (citrus mealybug), 648 nucleotides long. RefSeq lists it as uncharacterized. Lineage: Eukaryota; Metazoa; Arthropoda; Insecta; Hemiptera; Pseudococcidae. The transcript has 2 exons. The record is from RefSeq and is a predicted model, not a curated record.